GUAAAAGAGAUAAUGUACAGUUAUGAACAUUGUGGCAGAUAGCACUGGAUAUAAUUUAAAGCUGUUUAUAUCGGCUGUACAUCUGCAGUGGCUUGUUUCUGGGUGUUAAAAAAGUUUGAGGCCUCAAGGCACUGGUUUGUAAUCUAUUAUAAUCCGGCAUUAUCAUAAUAUGUGUUUCUACACUAUAAAAUGCAGCCCUCUAAAACUGAAAAGUAAAAAUUAAUUGCUGCAUUUUUAAGUAAUCUUUGGGUAAAAUUACAGUGAUUCUGAACCAUAUUAAAUGACUUUUAAACACUCUGUUGUUGUGACAAAUUUUUGCACAGCAAGCGUAGAAAUUAAGUCUCCGGUGUGUUUGAGUGUUGUUAACUCAAAGCAGGUCUGAUUUGCUUUGAAAAUAAACUUAAACUGAGCUUGGUUUGCAAGAAAAAUAGGGAUAAAUGAAUUAUUUAAAGGGUUUAUCUUGUCACUGUGUCUUGACAACACACACCAUGUCUGCAUUGAGUCACCAAAUGAAAAUAUUAAGAAAAUGACCUGUGUACAAUUCUACAUUAUAAAUGAUUAAAUAAAAUCCAGCUCAAAAUGAUUCGCUGGUCUUUUUUCGUUGUCAUUCUCAGACCUGCUACUAUAAGAUACUAUUUAAUAUAGUAAAAUCAAUGUGAGUGCGGGAGUUUUGAUUAAAUACAUGCCAAGUCAGUUUGAUUUUUAUAGUGCUUUUCACAGUAUUUUCACAUUAUUGUUUUAAAACAGCUUUACUAAGCAAUAGUGCCUUAAAAAUUGUAAUACAUUGAAAUGUACAAAAAACAUAUCACUGGUGUUUUACUGUUUUAUAACAAUAAUCUGUAGAGGCAAACACAUCCAAUCAUUGGGAUAUCAGUGGCUGGAUAUUUGACCAGGACUCAGAAAUGGUUUCUCUGGGGGCAGCUGCAUAUCCUGGGUCAAGAGAGAAGCAUCCUGACCCAAAGGAAGAGCCUGACCUGUCUUAAUUUAAUCUAUCCGCCCGCUGUUCUUUGAAGACAUGUUGAAGCCCGGGGGCAGAGCUGAGCUGACC
Molecule: long non-coding RNA, 1048 nt
Organism: Cyprinus carpio carpio
Lineage: Eukaryota; Metazoa; Chordata; Actinopteri; Cypriniformes; Cyprinidae
Source: Ensembl